This 602-nucleotide ribosomal RNA is filed under the name uncultured bacterium. RNAcentral's name for it is "bacterial SSU rRNA". It matches the Rfam family "Bacterial small subunit ribosomal RNA", at positions 338 to 958 of the family's 1533-position model. The record is from RNAcentral.
CCUACGGGAGGCAGCAGUGGGGAAUCUUGCACAAUGGGGGAAACCCUGAUGCAGCGACGCCGCGUGAGUGAUGAAGCCCUUCGGGGUGUAAAGCUCUUUCGACGGGAACGAUAAUGACGGUACCCGGAGAAGAAGCUGCGGCUAACUACGUGCCAGCAGCCGCGGUAAUACGUAGGCAGCAAGCGUUGUUCGGAAUUACUGGGCGUAAAGAGUACGUAGGUGGUUUGCUAAGUCCGAUGUGAAAUCUCCUGGCUUAACUGGGAGGGUGCGUUAGAUACUGGCAGGCUUGAAUGUGGGAGAGGAGAGCGGAAUUCCUGGUGUAGCGGUGAAAUGCGUAGAUAUCAGGAGGAACGCCUGUGGUGUAGACGGCUCUCUGGACCAUUAUUGACACUGAGGUACGAAAGCGUGGGUAGCAAACAGGAUUAGAUACCCUGGUAGUCCACGCCCUAAACGAUGCAUACUUGGUGUGGGCAGUUCAGUCUGUCCGUGCCGGAGCUAACGCGUUAAGUAUGCCGCCUGGGGAGUACGGUCGCAAGGCUGAAACUCAAAAGAGUAGUAGGCGUGUAGACGUCGCGACGGAGACACCGAGGGAGGUUAAGGAG